UGCCUGGACCAAGUUAGAAAUUCAGUUCGUAUGAACCAAAAAAUAGAACCCUUAUUUACGGGUUGAAAACACAAAAAUGUAUACCUUGCACUAUUUGUGCAUACUUCUAAAUACAUAAUAAAAAUAUAAUCAGGCAGGGAAAUAAACUUACUCUGUGGGGGACUUCUAUUAUUCUAAUUUUGUUUUGAUUGAACUGAAAACGUGUUCUAUGGCUGAAUUUUGAGAGCUAUUUUCGAAAGGGGAUGGGAACUACCCUAAAAUGCGUUUACUCUAAACCUGUACAAAGAAGGAUAACUCUAUACCAAAAAAGUGAAACACUACAUUCCCCGCCUGAUUUUGACAUAACAAAAUCACUACAUUUAAAAAGAAACAAAC
RNAcentral lists this long non-coding RNA (375 nucleotides) under Mytilus galloprovincialis (Mediterranean mussel). The record is from RNAcentral. Lineage: Eukaryota; Metazoa; Mollusca; Bivalvia; Mytilida; Mytilidae.